UAUCGAUAGCAUCUGUUUAGGUGUGUGAAUUUAUAGGAACUGUAUGACCCUGUACCAUUUGCUGGAGCCAUAAAGCACUAAGAAAGUUGUAAAUAAAAAAUUGUGAGUCCGUUUAAAUGACUUUGUUUCCUUGAAAAAUUUAGAAAUUGUCCAAGGAGUCUGCUAACUGGUAGAGCACAGGGGAUUCACUGGAUUGUCUGAUCUGUGACAACAUGCACGUUGAACAAGUAUUUCUUAAUGAUGCUCUCAUCUUCAUUUAGCCUUGUGGUGUCAGAGAAUCCACAGAACUCCAGACUGGAUCGUGGCCAUUGCAAGCUGCAUGCUGAGUGAAGAAGUCCAGAUUCCUAUUGGUGUUUUCGUCUAAAGAUCUAGGCAAGGAUAAUUGAACUGAUCACUGUGUAUUUUUGCAGAGCAUGAGUAUAGGAAAUCAAAGUAUAUUGGCUCUCAGACCUCUGAACAAAUGUGAAAAAACUGUGGAGACAUCAGGUGG
This 490-nucleotide long non-coding RNA is filed under the name Anser cygnoides (Swan goose). RNAcentral's name for it is "lncRNA (ENSACDG00005012003.1)". The record is from RNAcentral. Lineage: Eukaryota; Metazoa; Chordata; Aves; Anseriformes; Anatidae.